CCGAGAGGGGAGGCAGAGCCCUGGCCUGGCUCUGUGAGGAUGAUGACGACAGCCUUUGAUGUGAUCCACACCCCCACCGUGGGUAGGAUUUUCCUGUUUCUGCUCUCCACUGCCCAGUGUGGGCUGGAAGGCAGGUUUCCCUCCUGUUCAUGUUUUUGGAAUCAAGAAAACAACAAACUCACCUCUUCCAGCCAAAACCCAGCUCUGCGAAAUCACAUCCGUAGUAGGGGAAGGUAAGUUUCAAAAACACAGGGCUGGAAUACUGAGAGAUGCCCAGUUUUCUGCUCCCACCCCUACCCUGCACGUAGGACAGGGCUCCAGGCUGCUGUUCACUACCCUCUUUGGGGCAUGUCUCCCGUGGCCUGGGGCACAGCCAUGCCACUUGUGUCAGAUCCAGAAUGCUGCUGUGUCUGGGCUGGGAGCGCUGCCAGGGUUCAGCGUUUUUAUUGACAGCAGCUUCCAAAAGAAGCCAGUAUCUCGUGGUGUCCUCCCACGGGGAAGGGCAAGUCAGUCUGCAGGCAGAGGUGCUGCAGUAGCAGUACGACAGUGGGCAGAUGGGGCUUGCUGGCAGGGGCAGAGCACGGCCCUGCAGGGAGUGGUGUGGGGCAUCGUGGGGCUUGUGGCAAUACUGGGGAAAGAAAAGGGGAAUGUGUCUACAACAGUGGUUUUUCUUUAA
This 676-nucleotide long non-coding RNA is filed under the name Anser cygnoides (Swan goose). RNAcentral's name for it is "lncRNA (ENSACDG00005005653.1)". The record is from RNAcentral. Lineage: Eukaryota; Metazoa; Chordata; Aves; Anseriformes; Anatidae.